ACGGGGGGUCCUAGCGUUGUUCGGAAUUAUUGGGCGUAAAGCGUGUGCAGGUUGUCUGAAAAGUUAGAUGUGAAAUCCUUGGGCUCAACCCAAGACGUGCAUUUAAAACUGUCAGACUUGAGUAUGGAAGAGGGUCGUGGAAUUCCAGGUGUAGUGGUGAAAUACGUAGAUAUCUGGAGGAACACCGGUGGCGAAGGCGGCGACCUGGUCCAAUACUGACACUCAUACACGAAAGCGUGGGGAUCAAACAGGAUUAGAUACCCUGGUAGUCCACGCUGUAAACGAUGGACACUUGGUGUGGGAGGUAUUGACCCCUCCCGUGCCGAAGCUAACGCGUUAAGUGUCCCGCCUGGGGAGUACGGUCGCAAGAUUA
This 373-nucleotide ribosomal RNA is filed under the name uncultured bacterium. Its description in RNAcentral is "bacterial SSU rRNA". It matches the Rfam family "Bacterial small subunit ribosomal RNA", at positions 525 to 896 of the family's 1533-position model. The record is from RNAcentral.